CCCUUGUAUUGACAUCUUACAAAAUGACAGUGCAGUGAUUGAAAGCACUGAUGGAAUAUUCAUUUGAAUUUGACCAGUUCUUUCUGUUUCAGGAUCCAUCCCAGAAUCCCACACUGAACUUAUUCAUCCAGAAUCUUGGAUUCUGAACCGCAGAUUCAACCAACUACGGACAGUCAAAGUCAAGAAAUGGGAAGCUCUUCAGUUAUAUGCUCAAUGAAAACUUCAUGCCACUGGCACACAAGCUUUCCCUCCAAGUCGAGCUGAUCCUGGCACGGAACCUGGCUUCAUGAGACACAAAUGCCAGUUUUCUUUCCAGAGCUGAUGCCUUGAGGGUACCCGGAUUUUCACUGGAAGAGAGUACCAUAGCCCAAAAAAGCAAGGAGCCAUCAGGUUGCCAGAAAAUGCAUGGCACUCUGUGCCAGGCCCGAAGCCGCAGCCACCACAGGACGGGAGGAGAACUCCACUCAUGUCAGAUGGAUAAGCCCAGAAGAGUGGAGCACAACCUGGCUAUUUUCUGCCAAACAAUUUAUUAAGAAAGCAUGUCUUUGGACCUAGAUGCUGGGAAUGCAGAGACAGAAGAUCUUGUCACUGAUCUCAGGAAGCUCACAGGCAGACAAGCAGUGAUCUGAAUGUCCUACAGGUAGAUGUGUGUGUAGGGUGAGGGGGUGGCUAUGAUGGUAUCAAGGGUGGGGGGUAUUCUGCGUAAGGAUAAGGGAACUCAGAAAAGUUUCCAGGAAAUAUGAGGAUUAAGUUGUUGCU
This 759-nucleotide long non-coding RNA is filed under the name Cervus hanglu yarkandensis (Yarkand deer). Its description in RNAcentral is "lncRNA (ENSCHYG00000007243.1)". The record is from RNAcentral. Lineage: Eukaryota; Metazoa; Chordata; Mammalia; Artiodactyla; Cervidae.